AACAAGAAACACGGGAGCGGUUCCUCCUCACACUUUCCACGCAUGUCAUGCAUGCGAGGGGGCGUCCGUGAAUUUUACUGUGACCAAAAAAGUGCGACCAAAGCAGUCCGCCGACUUGAAUUACAAAGCAUGGGAUAACGAAGCAUCAGCCCUAGGGCCACCGUUUCGGCUUUUGUUGGUUUUAGCAGCCAUUGGGAGAUUAUGGGAGCCCGUGCCCGGGGCUAUGCCCACGCCUCAUGGCGUGCCUGGCAUAUUCGCCCCUUCUCCCCCCUGCGCGCCUCCCCUGGUGGGGAGAGUGUGGUGGUGGGGAGACGCGCGUUCCCAGGAAUGAAGGAGGGUAGUCGGGGGAGAACGUACUGGUGCGUCAGAGGUGAAAUUCUUAGACCGCACCAAGACGAACUACAGCGAAGGCAUUCUUCAAGGAUACUUUCCUCAAUCAAGAACCAAAGUGUGGGGAUCAAAGAUGAUUAGAGACCAUUGUAGUCCACACUGCAAACCAUGACACCCAUGAAUUGGGGAGCGCUACUGUGGUUCCCCGUGCUUCGGCGUCUUCGUGACGCCGUCUCACGGUCCCAGUACUUAACAAUUUACGUGCCUAUUCUUAUAUUCCGCCUGGCGUGCUUCGUUGUACGCCAUGGCGGUUCUUACGGGAAUAUCCUCAGCAC
RNAcentral lists this ribosomal RNA (665 nucleotides) under Trypanosoma suis. RNAcentral describes it as "SSU rRNA". It matches the Rfam family "Eukaryotic small subunit ribosomal RNA", at positions 678 to 1086 of the family's 1831-position model. The record is from RNAcentral. Lineage: Eukaryota; Euglenozoa; Kinetoplastea; Trypanosomatida; Trypanosomatidae.